RNAcentral lists this ribosomal RNA (482 nucleotides) under uncultured bacterium. RNAcentral's name for it is "partial 16S ribosomal RNA". It matches the Rfam family "Bacterial small subunit ribosomal RNA", at positions 30 to 507 of the family's 1533-position model. The record is from RNAcentral.
AUUGAACGCUGGCGGCAUGCUUUACACAUGCAAGUCGAACGGUAACAGGCCGCCAGGUGCUGACGAGUGGCGAACGGGUGAGUAAUGCAUCGGAACGUGCCCAGUCGUGGGGGAUAACUACUCGAAAGAGUAGCUAAUACCGCAUACGAUCUAUGGAUGAAAGCGGGGGACCGUAAGGCCUCGCGCGAUUGGAGCGGCCGAUGUCAGAUUAGGUAGUUGGUGGGGUAAAGGCUCACCAAGCCAACGAUCUGUAGCUGGUCUGAGAGGACGACCAGCCACACUGGGACUGAGACACGGCCCAGACUCCUACGGGAGGCAGCAGCGGGGAAUUUUGGACAAUGGGCGCAAGCCUGAUCCAGCAAUGCCGCGUGCAGGAAGAAGGCCUUCGGGUUGUAAACUGCUUUUGUACGGAACGAAACGGCUCUGGUUAAUACCCGGGGCUAAUGACGGUACCGUAAGAAUAAGCACCGGCUAACUACGUG